Molecule: ribosomal RNA, 360 nt
Filed under: uncultured Lactobacillus sp.
Lineage: Bacteria; Bacillati; Bacillota; Bacilli; Lactobacillales; Lactobacillaceae
Description: bacterial SSU rRNA
Rfam family: Bacterial small subunit ribosomal RNA
Source: RNAcentral
GAAAGAAGUUUUAAAAGGACGGCGUAAAGCUGUCGCUAAAAGGGAUGGACCUGCGAUGCAUUAGCUAGUUGGUAAGGUAACGGGCUUUACCAAGGCGAUGAUGCAUAGCCCGAGUUGAGAGACUGAUCGGCCACAUUGGGGACUGAGACACGGGCCCAAACUCCUACGGGAGGCAGCAGUAGGGAAUCUUCCACAAUGGACGAAAGUCUGAUGGAGCAAACGCCGCGUGAGUGAAGAAGGUUUUCGGAUCGUAAAGCUCUGUUGUUGGUGAAGAAGGAUAGAGGUAGUAACUGGCCCUUUAUUUGACGGUAAUCAACCAGAAAGUCACGGGCUAACUACGUGCCAGCAGCCGCGGUAAAU